Molecule: long non-coding RNA, 478 nt
Organism: Arabidopsis thaliana (thale cress)
Lineage: Eukaryota; Viridiplantae; Streptophyta; Magnoliopsida; Brassicales; Brassicaceae
Product: other RNA
Exons: 1
Source: RefSeq
UGAGAUGCACUAGAAAUGCAAUCCUUUAGUAAACACAAAUGAGAAAUAAAAGGGGAGAGACCCGUAAACAUCACAAAAUAACUGUAGAGAUCACAUUCACAAAGACAUAAUUACUGUACUUCACAAGAAAGAAACAAGGGAACACACACUCUUGUGUCUUUCUAAUACUCAUCGCCUUCUUCGUCGUCGUCCUCCGCUCCUUCUCCACCAACUUCCUCAUAAUCUUUCUCGAGGGCAGCAAGAUCCUCACGAGCCUCAGAGAACUCUCCUUCUUCCAUACCCUCUCCUACAUACCAAUGGACAAAGGCUCUUUUGGAGUACAUGAGAUCAAACUUAUGGUCUAUACGUGAGAACACUUCAGCAACUGCAGUAUUAUUGCUGAUCAUGCAAACCGCUCGUUGAACCUUAGCCAGGUCACCACCUGGAACAACGGAAGGCGGCUGGUAGUUUAUCCCGCACUUGAAUCCAGUUGGGCACC